Molecule: ribosomal RNA, 417 nt
Filed under: uncultured bacterium
Lineage: Bacteria
Description: bacterial SSU rRNA
Rfam family: Bacterial small subunit ribosomal RNA
Source: RNAcentral
UGGGGGAUAUUGCACAAUGGGGGAAACCCUGAUGCAGCAACGCCGCGUGAAGGAAGAAGGUCUUCGGAUUGUAAACUUCUGUCCUCAGGGAAGAUAAUGACGGUACCUGAGGAGGAAGCUCCGGCUAACUACGUGCCAGCAGCCGCGGUAAUACGUAGGGAGCGAGCGUUGUCCGGAUUUACUGGGUGUAAAGGGUGCGUAGGCGGAUCUGCAAGUCAGUAGUGAAAUCCCAGGGCUUAACCCUGGAACUGCUAUUGAAACUGUGGGUCUUGAGUGAGGUAGAGGCAGGCGGAAUUCCCGGUGUAGCGGUGAAAUGCGUAGAGAUCGGGAGGAACACCAGUGGCGAAGGCGGCCUGCUGGGCCUUAAACUGACGCUGAGGCACGAAAAGCAUGGGUAGCAAACAGGAUUAGAUACCC